UGAUAGACCUCCUUCAGUGCACAGGUCCCU
This 30-nucleotide non-coding RNA is filed under the name Rattus norvegicus (Norway rat). Lineage: Eukaryota; Metazoa; Chordata; Mammalia; Rodentia; Muridae. The record is from RNAcentral.